UCUUUUGCAUGUUAGAAACCUUAGAAACCUUUUCGAAUUACAACUUCAGCUUUUAUUCAUAAAUUAUUUUAUUGAAUCUAUGUGAUUUCUAUAAAUUAAAUGGUUAUUUAAAAGUAUAAUAAUUCAAAGUCGUAAUUUUCACUUUAAUCACUUUAGUUCCGUCUCAAGUCUACAACUGUGACAUUAUUAAAAAAAAUAAACGUCAAAAAUUUUUCAUCGAAAAAACGUGUUUUUCUACGAUUUUUAAUUGUUUCUAAUUGAAAUCAAUAAUUUCUCAGUCAUUAUUAAUAAGAACUACAUGUGCAUGGAUUGCCUGUUGGAUUGAUGUUUGUUUACGAAAAAAAUUCUCUCAAGUAAGUUAAUAAGUAAGUUAUUUCACUCGAGAUAGGUUAUUACUUGCAGCAACAUCAUGUUUUAAGUAUUGAACCACACAAAGGAUUAAAUCUUCAUUACAAAAUCAUUCAUAACUCCAUUUAAAUCAAUGGAAACCAAAUAUGGAUAGUUUCAUGGAGUAACAACAUACUUUGGAUUUUGGACAUAAAAUACAAUACAAGUUAAUAUCGAACUUCGAACUUAUAAAGUGUUAAGCAGCAAUUACAAUAAAAGUGCUUGCUGUGGAAUCACUGGUGCUGCUCAUUAUUGUCAACUGUUACUUAAAAAGGUUAUGCCAUGCAUUAAAUUAGGAAGAUUUGUGUUGGAUGAAUUACCCAGAUAACAAUUAAAACAACUUCUAUUUAUAAGAACAUUCGAUUGGUGGAAUCCAGAUUCUGUGAAUAUAUAUUAAGUAAUUGAUUGACAAGUACACAUUUGACAAGGUGGUGAGAAACAUGUAGAUCUGGCCUGCUUACAGUGGAGUGGACAGAACCAACGUGAGAGUGAACGUGUGAAUUUAUGGAGAACAUUAAACUAUUUUACUAUAAGUCUUAACGCAACAUAUUUUAUAUGAGUUACAUACAAAUGUCAAUCUGUGAGUACAUAAUGUAAAAACUAAAACAAUGUACUGUUAUCACAACAGUAACUGUAAUCUUUUAAAAUCCAGUAGUUUUAUUGCUUAUUGAUUUUCGUAAACAAAAUAUUUCAUGUUAUAUUUCAUCAAU
Long non-coding RNA from Ostrinia nubilalis (European corn borer), 1097 nucleotides. RefSeq lists it as uncharacterized. Lineage: Eukaryota; Metazoa; Arthropoda; Insecta; Lepidoptera; Crambidae. The transcript has 5 exons. The record is from RefSeq and is a predicted model, not a curated record.